Long non-coding RNA from Ziziphus jujuba (common jujube), 1817 nucleotides. RefSeq lists it as uncharacterized. Lineage: Eukaryota; Viridiplantae; Streptophyta; Magnoliopsida; Rosales; Rhamnaceae. The transcript has 2 exons. The record is from RefSeq and is a predicted model, not a curated record.
CUAAUGGGAGAACUGGACCAAAUCGCUAAAAUAUAAAGAAGGAGGUGGUGUUGUUGACUUUGGAAGGUUUUAUAUCUUAGCAAGCGGAGAGAGUUCCAGGCCAGUACACUUUCUGGUUGAUCUUUCGGACCUGCUUUUGGCAUCCAAAUCCAAAGUCCUCAUAGCUACCAAAGAAACGAAUAAAAAGGAGAAAAAUCCAGAGUGAUGAGGAUCAUCAUGGGAGCACUCAAAGAUGGAGUCCUGAGCCACUGGGGUUGUCAACUGGACCAAUUACUAGAGUUCAUGCAAAGAAGUUUAAAAAUGCAUUAAACGGUCUUAUCCCGGACAUACUUAUCAAUCAAGAAUGUAAGAGUUUUUCUAAGGAAAAAUCAAAACUGGCAACAAUAUUGAGCAUUGAAAGCUAUAGAUAUGAAGGCAUGAAGGAAGACAAUAUUAGGGGCAAUUUGGUAAUUUUUCACUAGUACGAUGACAUGGCAUCUUUGGACACGUGGCAUGACAUGUGGUAUUUAAGUGGUUGUCUAACAUGGCAUGAAAAGAAAGAAAUCAACUUGUUUCUUUUUUAGGCUAAUUAUGUAUCUUACUUGAUCAUUAAGUUAUUUGUUCUCCAAGUUUUACAAUUUUAGUCAUAUUUUAAUUUAGUUGGAUGAUCAAGAUUGGAGGUGAAGUAGGAGAGAGUCCACGUAAAUAGUCUAAAUGCGUAAAUUUUAUUGAAACUUACCUUCAAAAUGGAAGUUUCUAAAUAAACCCAAAAAAGACCCCAAAAAAAUAAAAAAUGAGUGCAUCCAUUUUCUUUAUAAAUAUAGACACAGACGUGCAGAUUUUUAUUAGAUAGACGUGACAGUACUAUGUUAAAAAUCUAUCGAUUAACCUUUUAGAUGUAAUUUUAGAAGGUAGAUUCCAUCUAAUUAAACAAACUCUAAGUAAAUUUAAUAUUUGUGCUCAUAGACUUAAAUAUACUAUUAUUAGGUAACAUACCAUUAUUAGGUUUCAUUAUAUUUGUUUUGGCGAGUACACCAUUAUCUUUACCUGACAAAAAAAUUUGUUGUGUAUGUAUAUCCAUAUAUACAUAUGUUUUAUUUACAUGUAAUUAUCUGCCAGUGGAAACGUAUUAAUAUGUCAAGUAAUAAUGGUUUUUACAUCUCUAAUUUAGCUUUCAUUAUUAUUUUUAUUUCUUUUAUUUUUUAAGGAACAUUAGCCGAGUGUCAUCAGAAAAGAUAAUUAAUAGGAAAACAGUUCUCUGUACAUGAUAUAUUAUAUAUUUUUGUUUGAUAUAGAGUGCUUAUAUAAUAUAUAAAUAUAUAGUAGAAGAAAAGUUCUCUAUAUAUAAUAUAUUUUUGUUUGAUUUAGAGUGCUUUCAUGUGUGUGUGUAUAUACAAAUAAUGAUAAUUCACAGCUAUUACAUGUACAUAUCUAAAAGAUGUGGAUGAUUGUCUUCACACUCUCAUUAUGUAAAAUUAAUCUAUAUAUAUAUAUAUAUAAUAAUAAUCACAAGCGGCAUUAAUUAGAAACACUCCUUAAAAUCUAUCACAUAUAUGUUGUAGGUUGGCUUGAUAGGUCCACAGCAUAGCUUAGAGCUCCAAUAAAAGUCGAGAGAAAGUAAAAAAAGAGGAGUUUAUGUUUGUGAGAAAAUGGGAGAUUUUACAUCGAUUAAUGAUUCACCCUACACCAUUAUCAUUUUAAUGGAGAAAACCAUGGUUAUUCAUCAUAAUCAACCCCAUAAAUUCUGAUAUAGUUUUGUCACAUCUUUGAACCGUAAAUCUGAUUUGUCUUAAGGAAGAUAAUUUUGUAAACGACAAUGAAAGCACAGAAAAAUAGGA